Molecule: long non-coding RNA, 2260 nt
Filed under: Bos grunniens (domestic yak)
Lineage: Eukaryota; Metazoa; Chordata; Mammalia; Artiodactyla; Bovidae
Description: lncRNA (ENSBGRG00000011111.1)
Source: RNAcentral
UCUAUAGAGGAGCAGAGUUGGGGAAUAGGGGCCUAAACUCUGCUUGCUGCUGCUAAGUCACUUCAGUCUUGUCCAACUCUGUGCGACCCCAUAGACGGCAGCCCACUACGCUCCUCUGUCCCUGGGAUUCUCCAGGCAAGAAUACUGGAGUGGGUUGCCAUUUCCUUCUCCAAUGCAUGAAAGUGAAAAGUGAAAGUGAAGUCUCUCAGUUGUGCCCAACUCUUAGAGACCCCAUGGACUGCAGCCUACCAGGCUCCUCCGUCCAUGGGAUUUUCCAGGCAAGGCUGGGUUUAAAUCCCAGCUUCGCCACUUUCUACUGUGUGACCUCAGGCAAGUUAAUCAACUUCUCUGUCUCUCAUUUUCCUCGCCUAUAAAAGCGGGGAUAAUAAUAUUACCGAGAAAAUGGGUUGCUGAGAGACUAGACCAGCCAAUAUUUGUGAAGUGUUGAUAAUGGGCCUGCUACAGCAGAAGAGCAAAGUGAGUAUUGGUUUUUAUUCUACUCCUGAGAAUUCUCCACCCCGGGGUUCCAAGGCUCCAUCCCCUGGAGCGCCCCACCCCAUCUCCCUACACAAGCCUCCUUGCAACUGCCAGCUUCUAGCUUCCACCAGCAGGAACCGCUCUCUCCUGGGUCCUUCUCCCUCCUCCCCUUCCCUGUUCCUGGUUCCUACAAAUGAGAUUGGUGGAGAGAGCAGUGGUUGUAUGUGUAGGAAUAGUAAGCCGGGCAGCCAGUCUCCAGUCUCAGCUGCCUGCCUGGGGAGCUGCCAGGCUCCGCGUGCUUGGCUGACCACCCCUGUCUGUCCUGGGAAUCAGGGCUUUCCCAAGGGCAAGGGCAGGGAGGUGCUGUAUGGUGAAUUCUCCGCCCAUAGCUCCGCCUCUCAUCCUCCUGUUUGUAAUUUUUCCCAAAGAAGAGAGAACCGUUAUUUCUUCAAAGGACCGCCUUCUCUCGAACACCGGCUCAUCCUGAAGUCGCAUCUCUCCAACACAGGAGAAUUCAUUUCCCGAGAGUCCACCCGGCAAUCAGCGGGUUCCCAGAUUUCUUUCCCAUUUAGGUCACCACUGAGCACUGAGUCACUUUUAAAUAGAAGGAAGAGCAAAGAGUCAGACACGACUGAGCAACUAACACACAAGAGCCAAGGAGGAGCUGGGCAGGGUUGUAACCGGGAGAGUGACGUGCUGCUCUAGAGAAGGAUGAACAAUGCUCGAGGUGGAGGAAGACAUAAGAGGAGCUUGGAGCAGGAGCCGGCCUCUGCCUUCCCGGUGGCAGCCCCAGAAGAAACACAGAGGACCACAUCCCCAAGGGAGACGCCUCGUGGAUUUCUGCUAGAAGGCUGGCAAUGGGUCCCAAUCUGAGUUUUAAAAAAUUUUAGGGGACAAGCAAAGGCCCUUAGAUGAUGACCCCCUUGGUUGUUCAGCCAACGGGCAGGAGACCCAGCAGAUGUUUUGGAGCCUUUGCCAAAAAAUCAGCAGGAGUCAUCCUUGGCCGUGGACUGAAGGGCGGGAGGUGGGGGCAGGGCAGCCAAAAGCCCUGGAGGCUAGAGUUUCUCCUGACUAUUCUACCACCAGAACAGGAAUGGAAAAAGCUACGAAGGGCUGCAGAGGGUCCAGAAGAAACCCUGGGGGGAAAGCCGAAUUUCUGUGUGCAGAGCGUUCAGGAAGUUCAGAAUGGAGCUGCAUGCGCAACUGGAUGGGGCCCUUGGUUUGGACCCCACGAGUGGCUCCUCCAUGGAUCUUUCAGGACCAAAGGGCCCUGGAGGACAGCAGGGUCUCCGUUCAGUCUGCCCACACUCUCCGCUCCUUCUGGGAUCUCACUGGUGGGCACCAGGUCUUUCUUCCAUGUGUAUGAGCCCUCCCUGGGGAGACACGGAGAAAUGGGGCUCAGAAGGAGCUGGAGGGAAGUGCUGACCUCCCAGGAGGCCAGCUCGAGGCCUCCCCCUUCCCUGACCCUGCCCCCCCCCCCACCCCCGUGUUCUCUGUGUCUUCCUGCCUGUGAGACUUCUGUGUUCCGGGGGAGUCGCCUCUGCCUCCUCUAGGGGUCUGGCAUCUGCUGUCACAAACCGGCCGGUCUUGGAUGCUGCAGUGGGGACAGAAAGAAGACCGAUUUUGUCCUCAGCACGCUCAGAGACAGGUGUGGGCAGGUGACACCCGCCUAUGCACGAGGAGACACGUGCAAGAAUGUGAGAAUGGUAACAAAGCUAAAAAUAAAGCCAAAGAAAACCAGCUUGAAAUGUCCCUGCGAAGUGUGGUUGUGCUUAAAGAUUUU